UGGGGAAUAUUGGACAAUGGGCGAAAGCCUGAUCCAGCAAUGCCGCGUGGGUGAAGAAGGUCUUCGGAUUGUAAAGCCCUUUCGACAGGGACGAUGAUGACGGUACCUGUAGAAGAAGCCCCGGCUAACUUCGUGCCAGCAGCCGCGGUAAUACGAAGGGGGCGUAGCGUUGUUCGGAAUCACUGGGCGUAAAGCGCACGUAGGCGGAUGUGCCAGUCAGGGGUGAAAAUCCCGGAGCUCAACUUCGGAACUGCCUUUGAUACUGAAGAUCUUGAGUCUGGGAGAGGUGAGUGGAACUGCGAGUGUAGAGGUGAAAUUCGUAGAUAUUCGGAGGAACACCAGUGGCGAAGGCGGCUCACUGGCUCGAUACUGACGCUGAGGUGCGAAAGCGUGGGGAGCAAACAGGAUUAGAUACC
Molecule: ribosomal RNA, 416 nt
Filed under: uncultured bacterium
Lineage: Bacteria
Description: bacterial SSU rRNA
Rfam family: Bacterial small subunit ribosomal RNA
Source: RNAcentral